UGUAUUAUAGUAUAACUCGUACAUAGAAAUUUGAAUUCUAAAGGUAUAAUACAAACACAA
Molecule: transfer RNA, 60 nt
Filed under: Trichinella pseudospiralis
Lineage: Eukaryota; Metazoa; Nematoda; Enoplea; Trichinellida; Trichinellidae
Description: tRNA-Gln
Source: RNAcentral